Molecule: long non-coding RNA, 286 nt
Filed under: Elaeis guineensis (African oil palm)
Lineage: Eukaryota; Viridiplantae; Streptophyta; Magnoliopsida; Arecales; Arecaceae
Description: long non-coding RNA (EGUI_LNC075370)
Source: RNAcentral
AAGUAAUACAUGCAUGUUGUUCUCCUGCUUUACAGCGUUGAAAACAUGAAACCUUUGAAACAUCGAGUGCCAUCUGGUAGUGUUGGAUGAAACAUGCAAUGCACAUGCCUUGUUUAUAAAGGGGAGGGGAUGAGGAAAAGCGCAAAAUGAGAGGGAAGAAAAAGAAGUUUGGGCUGGAUAGCACUUGUAAGAUUCAAAUGAGAAAGGGGAGAACAAAACAUGGGAAUGAGUCUAUGGAGGAGUCUACUGGCUGGACCAAUUCUAAAACAACAGUGGAAAACCAAUG